Molecule: ribosomal RNA, 801 nt
Filed under: uncultured bacterium
Lineage: Bacteria
Description: bacterial SSU rRNA
Rfam family: Bacterial small subunit ribosomal RNA
Source: RNAcentral
GCAGCACGGACUUCGGUCUGGUGGCGAGUGGCGAACGGGUGAGUAACAUAUCGGAACGUAUCCAAUAAUGGGGGAUAACUAAUCGAAAGGUUGGCUAAUACCGCAUACGCCCUACGGGGGAAAGCUAGGGACCUUCGGGCCUGGCGUUAAUGGAGCGGCCGAUAUCUGAUUAGCUAGUUGGUGGGGUAAAGGCCCACCAAGGCGACGAUCAGUAGCCGGUCUGAGAGGACGACCAGCCACACUGGAACUGAGACACGGUCCAGACUCCUACGGGAGGCAGCAGUGGGGAAUUUUGGACAAUGGGCGCAAGCCUGAUCCAGCCAUUCCGCGUGAGUGAAGAAGGCCUUCGGGUUGUAAAGCUCUUUCGCAAGGGAAGAAAACUUAGGCUCUAACAUAGCCUGAGGUUGACGGUACCUUGAUAAGAAGCACCGGCUAACUACGUGCCAGCAGCCGCGGUAAUACGUAGGGUGCGAGCGUUAAUCGGAAUUACUGGGCGUAAAGCGUGCGCAGGCGGUUUUGUAAGCCAGAUGUGAAAUCCCCGGGCUCAACCUGGGAAUGGCAUUUGGGACUGCAAGGCUGGAGUGUGGCAGAGGGGACUAGAAUUCCUGGUGUAGCAGUGAAAUGCGUAGAUAUCGGGAGGAACACCAGUGGCGAAGGCGGCUGCCUGGACCGGUUCUGACGCUGAGGCGCGAAAGCGUGGGGAGCAAACAGGAUUAGAUACCCAGGUAGUCCACGCUGUAAACGAUGGGCACUCGAUGCCGCGGGUAUUGACCCCUGCGGUGUCUUAGUUAACGCGUUAAG